This is a long non-coding RNA of Pseudophryne corroboree (corroboree frog), 684 nucleotides long. RefSeq lists it as uncharacterized. NCBI's taxonomy places the organism in Eukaryota, Metazoa, Chordata, Amphibia, Anura, Myobatrachidae. The transcript has 4 exons. The record is from RefSeq and is a predicted model, not a curated record.
CUGCCUCAUAUCCAGUUAUGGCUAGGAUUUUUUACAGCAAAAAUGAUUACAAUGAUACAAAGAAGUUAGUUAUACACAGAAUCUGUUUUAUAAAUAUCUUCUUUGUAUUAUUGUAAUCAUCAUAUUGGUAUAUGACAGGGGAGGCACUGCCUCCCCUGCCUCCCCUGACUGCACGUCCCUGAGGGUCACGGCUUACUACACCACAGGGUGUGAUUCUUUUCUUUGUCUCUGGAACAACAAUAAAGUCUAUCUCUGGUCACUGUUGCGGCUUUGUAUAUCAUCAGGUUUCAACAAAAGAUGAGCCCAACAAUUCCAGCAUAUCAAAGCAUACAAAGCACAGAUCGGUCUGGUAAUGCACUAGGUUUGAGCGUAACAAGAUGCAUUUUAGAAAAUGACUAAAAUAAAACCCUUAUAUGAUAAAAGCAUAUCAAAGCAUAAAUGUGUACACAAUUAAAAACAAAUAUUUCUAUAUUCUAUGGUACCUGAAAUCACCAAGUCAGCAGUACUCAGUGUUUAAGGACACCAGACAGAAAUGACAAUCUGACCCCAAAAUCAGAUUCUCAACCUCCAGAAAAAAUUCUGCGUACCCGGGUGUUGCUGAGAUCCGAGUUGUGAGGCAGAUGUGUCCACUUUUCCGUCCAGAAAGUCCUUCCAAGAGAUCUCGGUGGGACCUCCAACUGUGAA